AUUGAACGCUGGCGGCAGGCCUAACACAUGCAAGUCGAGCGGAUGAAGGGAGCUUGCUCCUGGAUUCAGCGGCGGACGGGUGAGUAAUGCCUAGGAAUCUGCCUGGUAGUGGGGGAUAACGUCCGGAAACGGGCGCUAAUACCGCAUACGUCCUGAGGGAGAAAGUGGGGGAUCUUCGGACCUCACGCUAUCAGAUGAGCCUAGGUCGGAUUAGCUAGUUGGUGGGGUAAAGGCCUACCAAGGCGACGAUCCGUAACUGGUCUGAGAGGAUGAUCAGUCACACUGGAACUGAGAAACGGUCCAGCCUCCUACGGGAGGCAGCAGUGGGGAAUAUUGGACAAUGGGCGAAAGCCUGAUCCAGCCAUGCCGCGUGUGUGAAGAAGGUCUUCGGAUUGUAAAGCACUUUAAGUUGGGAGGAAGGGCAGUAAGUUAAUACCUUGCUGUUUUGACGUUACCAACAGAAUAAGCACCGGCUAACUUCGU
This 483-nucleotide ribosomal RNA is filed under the name uncultured bacterium. RNAcentral describes it as "partial 16S ribosomal RNA". It matches the Rfam family "Bacterial small subunit ribosomal RNA", at positions 30 to 506 of the family's 1533-position model. The record is from RNAcentral.